RNAcentral lists this unclassified non-coding RNA (309 nucleotides) under plant metagenome. Its description in RNAcentral is "partial contains 5.8S ribosomal RNA, internal transcribed spacer 2, and large subunit ribosomal RNA". The stretch from base 1 to 105 matches the Rfam family "5.8S ribosomal RNA", at positions 50 to 154 of the family's 154-position model. The record is from RNAcentral.
GAAAUGCGAUAAGUAGUGUGAAUUGCAGAAUUCAGUGAAUCAUCGAAUCUUUGAACGCACAUUGCGCCCCUUGGUAUUCCAUGGGGCAUGCCUGUUCGAGCGUCAUUUGUACCCUCAAGCUCUGCUUGGUGUUGGGUGUUUGUCCCGUCUCCGCGCGUGGACUCGCCCCAAAGUGAUUGGCAGCCGGCGUACUGGUCCCGGAGCGCAGCACAUGUCGCGCAAACGAGUGCCUUGGUACGGCGGCGUCCAUAAGCCCCUCUCUCACGCUCUUGACCUCGGAUCAGGUAGGGAUACCCGCAGAACUUAAGC